UUAACUAGUCUGUUAGAUGAAUAUUUACUGGACACUGAUAUAUGCCAAGCACUAUGCUAGGUAUUGAGGAAAUAGCAUGAACAAAAUUAAGUAGACAAUAAACAAACAAAAACCUAAGUAUGUAGAAAAUAUGAACAGACCAAUCACAAGCACUGAAAUUGAAACUGUGAUUAAAAAUCUUCCAACAGGGCUUCCAUGGUGGCACAGUGGUUGAGAGUCCGCCUGCCGAUGCAGCAGACGCGGGUUCGUGCCCCGGUCGGAGAGGAUCCCACAUGCCACGGAGUGGCUGGGCCCGUGAGCCAUGGCCGCUGGGCCUGAGAGUCCGGAGCCUGUGCUCCACAAGGGGAGACGCCACAACGGUGAGAGGCCAGCAUACCGCAAAAAAAAAAAAAAAAAAAAAAAAUCUUCCAACAAACAAAAGCCCAGGACCAGAUGGCUUCAUAGGCAAAUUCUAUCAAACAUUUACAGAACAGCUAACACCUAUCCUUCUCAAACUCUUCCAAAAUAUAGCAGAGGGAGGAACACUCCCAAAGUCAUUCUAUGAGGCCACCAUCACCCUGAUACCAAAACCAGACAAAGAUGUCACAAAGAAAGAAAACUACAGGCCAACAUCACUGAUGAACAUAGAUGCAAAAAUCCUCAACAAAAUACUAGCAAACAGAACCCCAAAGCACAUUAAAAGGAUCAUACACUGGGAUCAAGUGGGGCUUAUCCCAGGAAUGCAAGGAUUAUUCAAUAUAUGGAAAUCAAUCAAUGUGAUACACCUUAUUAAAAAAUUGAAGGAGAAAAACCAUAUGGUCAUCUCAAUAGAUGCAGAGAAAGCUUCUGACAAAAUUCAACACCCUUUAUGACAAAAACCCUCCAGAAAGUAGGCACAGAGAGAACUUUCCUCAACAUAAUAAAGGCCAUAUAUGACAAACCCACAGCCAACAUCGUCCUCAAUGGUGAAAAACUGAAACCAUUUCCUCUAAGAUCAGGAACAAGACAAGGUUGCCCACUCUCACCACUCUUAUUCAACAUAGUUUUGGAAGUUUUAGCCACAGCAAUCAGAGAAGAAAAGGAAAUAAAAGCAAUCCAAAUCAGAAAAGAAGAAGUAAAGCUGUCACUGUUUGCAGAUGACAUGAUACUAUACAUAGAGAAUCCUAAAGAUGCUACCAGAAAACUACUGGAGCUAAUCAAUAAAUCUGGUAAAGUAUCAGGAUACAAAAUUAAUGCACAGAAAUCUCUGGCAUUCCUAUACACUAAUGAUGAAAAAUCUGAAAGUGAAAUCAAGAAACCACUUCCAUUUACCCCUGCAACAAAAAGAAUAAAAUAGCUAGGAAUAAACCUACCUAAGGAGACAAAAGACCUGUAUGCAGAAAAUUAUAAGACACUGAUGAAAGAAAUUAAAGAUGAUACAAAUAGAUGUAGAGAUAUACCAUAUUCUUGGAUUGGAAGAAUCAACACUGUGAAAAUGACUAGACUACCCAAAGCCAUCUACAGAUUCAAUGCAAUCCGUAUCAAACUACCACUGGCAUUUUUCACAGAAGUAGAACAAAAAAUUUCACCAUUUGUAUGGAAACACAGAAGACCCCGAAUAGCCAAAGCAAUCUUUAGAAUGAAAAACGGAGCUGGAGGAAUCAGGCUCCCUGACCUCAGACUAUACUACACAGCUACAGUAAUCAAGACAGUAUGGUACUGGCACAAAACCAGAAAUAUAGAUCAAUGGAACAGGAUAGAAAGCCCAGAGAUAAACCAAUGCACAUAUGGUCAUCUUAUCUUUGAUAAAGGAGGCAGGAAUGUACAGUGGAGAAAGGACAGCGUCUUCAAUAAGUGGUGCUGGGAAAACUGGACAGAUACAUGUAAAAGUAUGAGAUUAGAACACUCCCUAACACCAUACACAAAAAUAAGCUCAAAAUGGAUUAAAGACCUAAAUGUAAGGCCAGAAACUAUCAAACUCUUAGAGGAAAACAUAGGCAGAGCACUCUAUGACAUAAAUCACAGCAAGAUCCUUUUUGACCCACCUCCUAGAAAAAUGGAAAUAAAAACAAAAAUAAAUAAAUGGGACCUAAUGAAACUUCAAAGCUUUUGCACAGCAAAGGAAACCAUAAACAAGACCAAAAGACAACCCUCAGAAUGGGAGAAAAUAUUUGCAAAUGAAGCAAAUGUCAAAGGAUUAAUCUCCAAAAUUUACAAGCAGCUCA
This is a long non-coding RNA of Orcinus orca (killer whale), 2183 nucleotides long. RefSeq lists it as uncharacterized. The record is from RefSeq and is a predicted model, not a curated record. The transcript has 2 exons. NCBI's taxonomy places the organism in Eukaryota, Metazoa, Chordata, Mammalia, Artiodactyla, Delphinidae.